UCUGCAACUCGACUACAUGAAGCUGGAAUCGCUAGUAAUCGCAGAUCAGAAUGCUGCGGUGAAUACGUUCCCGGGUCUUGUACACACCGCCCGUCACACCAUGGGAGCCGGAAAUGCCCGAAGUCAGUGACCCAACCGCAAGGGAGGGAGCUGCCGAAGGUGGAGCUGGUAACUGGGGUGAAGUCGUAACAAGGUACC
RNAcentral lists this ribosomal RNA (198 nucleotides) under uncultured bacterium. RNAcentral describes it as "partial 16S ribosomal RNA". It matches the Rfam family "Bacterial small subunit ribosomal RNA", at positions 1304 to 1500 of the family's 1533-position model. The record is from RNAcentral.